This 1225-nucleotide long non-coding RNA is filed under the name Cryptosporidium parvum. Lineage: Eukaryota; Apicomplexa; Conoidasida; Eucoccidiorida; Cryptosporidiidae. The record is from RNAcentral.
AGAGUACUAAUAGAUAGAUACUGAGGGGUUUUUGUGGAUUAGUGUGGCAGAUGGAUAUGAUUGAUUUAUAUUGAAUUUAUUAGCUGCAUGUAACUCUUGUGGAAUACAUCAGUAUUUGCAUUUUGUAUUAAAAUAAAUGCAAAUAUUCUUGUAGGAAGGGUUAUGAAAAUUUUCUUUCCCUUUCUACAAUAGGUCUCUGCAUAUAUUUUGAAUAUGGCAUUAUUAUAAUCAUUGCAGAAGUCCAAAUAUGCAUUCUCAAGUGAGUUGGUUGGAGAUGAUUUUUAUUUCGAGGUUUUGUAUAAUCACUGAUUUAUUUAUCAGUUGAUUUUGGCAUAUUUUUGUAACUGACUAUGGAAACAUUGACAGAUUUUAUAAUAAUAAUGUCAUGGUAUUACUGUUUUUUUCUCCUUCAAUCUUAUUAAGGUUAAUCUUUACAGAUAUAUAUGGCUAUCACAGCAUUUUUCUCUAAAUGACUAAACACCAUAUUAUCUAGUGUGGGUAAUCCAACUAAUUUUGCAGGUUAUUAUCUUUAUAGUUGGUUUUAAUUCGAUUCUUACAGCUUCUCUAUUUGCAUUUGAGAAAUUUUAAACUUGGUCGAUCAGAGUACGAGCGUUGGAUACCUACUCUUGCUUGUAAACUGAGGAUUUACAAUUUAAAUGGAACAAUGAUAUUUAAUUAUUAUUCUAAGGAAAUAUUAAGGUAUAUAUGUGUUUCAAUCAUUGUGCACCUGGAAUAAAUUGCACUUCUUAACUUUAAGACCAUCCAGUUUCAUAAAUUAUAUAGUCAUACAUUCUACUUAAAGAUUUAAUAGGGCAUCUUGAGACGAAUAUUAGAGAGUUUGAAUGGAUAUUUAUGUUAUGGUAGAACCCAUUUCCUCAAAUGUAUGAUUUUGAAGUAUUAAUCAUGCACAAUUCAUUAGGUUUUGUAUGCAUGCAUUAUUGUGGUCAGCUCGAAAGAGACACGUAUUAAGGCGGCUUAAAUAUUGAAGGUAUGCAUGUAUUAAUUUUUUAUGGUUCGGCCCUUUUGCCAAGCAAAGGAUUGAAGUUUUAUUAGUUUUGGUGGUAACGAGGAAACUUUGAGUGAAACCGUCAUCACUAAGCAUACUAUUUUGAGGUUGAGUGAGUAAAAGAUUGAGAUUUGUGAGUUUGAAUUGUUUUUUGUUAGAAUUUUAAGUGUGGUUUGUUUGAGUAAAUGACUUAAUUUUGAAUAUUUUGCCUAUUUCUCU